GCUAGAAAGAGCAACCCUUCUGGGUCCCCUUCCACUGGGUGGAAGCUUUACUUUCGCUUUCACUUUACUUUCGCUUUUGCUUUGCUUUUGCUUUUACUUUAAUAAAUCUUGCCACUGCACACUCUGGGUUUCUCUACUCGAGCUGUAUCACUCGCUGCUGUGGUCCACCGCUCCAUUCCUUGAGGCCCGUGAGACCACGAACACUUCGAUGGAGAAAAACCUUCUAUCAGGAGAAGACUUCUUGUCUCAUUUCUGGGGGCCCAUCUGGGAUUUCUCCAAAGCUGGCUGGCAACAGGUGGAAAACUGUCUUCCUGAAAUCCCGGCACUGACCCAGUGGAGAUCAUGGCACGGUAUCAACGUGGCAGCAAAUUCAGAAAGUUUCCUCUCCUGACUCCAGGAAAUGAUCUGGAUUCACUGGAUAUCAGCCAGUAUUUGUCAUGCUGAUCGAAGUUGGGAGAAGUUGUCUGGAGUAAGCAACCAAAGCUAAGAUGAGCUCUGCUGAGACCUACUUGCUACAAAACAUUUGCCCUUAUAAAAAAUGGAGGGCUGCACAAAA
Molecule: long non-coding RNA, 556 nt
Organism: Piliocolobus tephrosceles (Ugandan red Colobus)
Lineage: Eukaryota; Metazoa; Chordata; Mammalia; Primates; Cercopithecidae
Exons: 3
Source: RefSeq, a predicted model, not a curated record